RNAcentral lists this long non-coding RNA (346 nucleotides) under Homo sapiens (human). Its description in RNAcentral is "non-protein coding LINC00448:3". Lineage: Eukaryota; Metazoa; Chordata; Mammalia; Primates; Hominidae. The record is from RNAcentral.
CAGAGAGAUCCCUUGCAAGUUCCACCAUGUGAGGAUACAGGGAGAAAAUGGCAGUCUAUGAACCAGGAAGCAAGUCUUCACCAGAACCCAGCUGUGCUAGCACCCUGAACUCAGGCUUUCAGCCUCCAGAACUAUCCUCAGAGCUUUAUAGCCUUUCAGUUGAGAAAUAUGAAACACUGAAAAUCAAAAACAAAUGCUGGAAAUCUUCUAGAAUGCAAGAUAUUACUAAUAGCCUGUAACUUCUGGGGGAAAACAGGAGGCACCAUGGACCCCAUUCUGCGAAAAACCUCUGUUUUCCCAUAGAACCCCAGGAAUUGACAUGAAAUAAACCUUUCUCAAAAUCUAA